AGUGAACGCUGGCGGUAGGCCUAACACAUGCAAGUCGAACGGCAGCACAGUAAGAGCUUGCUCUUACGGGUGGCGAGUGGCGGACGGGUGAGGAAUACAUCGGAAUCUACUUUUUCGUGGGGGAUAACGUAGGGAAACUUACGCUAAUACCGCAUACGACCUACGGGUGAAAGCAGGGGAUCUUCGGACCUUGCGCGAUUGAAUGAGCCGAUGUCGGAUUAGCUAGUUGGCGGGGUAAAGGCCCACCAAGGCGACGAUCCGUAGCUGGUCUGAGAGGAUGAUCAGCCACACUGGAACUGAGACACGGUCCAGACUCCUACGGGAGGCAGCAGCGGGGAAUAUUGGACAAUGGGCGCAAGCCUGAUCCAGCCAUACCGCGUGGGUGAAGAAGGCCUUCGGGUUGUAAAGCCCUUUUGUUGGGAAAGAAAUCCAGCCGGCUAAUACCUGGUUGGGAUGACGGUACCCAAAGAAUAAGCACCGGCUAACUUCGUG
Molecule: ribosomal RNA, 492 nt
Filed under: uncultured bacterium
Lineage: Bacteria
Description: partial 16S ribosomal RNA
Rfam family: Bacterial small subunit ribosomal RNA
Source: RNAcentral